GGGGGGGAGGUUAGCGGAAAAUGAAAAUGACCUGAGAACGGAAUAUCGAGUACUGAAAGGUAAAGGGCGCCUACACACCUCGAGUUAAAGACUCCAAGCAGCUUUGAAAAGGAGCACCAGUCGGCUACCCCUGCUACUAAACUCGGAGCCUUCCCGACCGUGCAGUACCACCAGAAGCAGAAUUAACCCACUUCGAGGAAUCCCAGAACACCUAACUGGAUAUUACGGAACAAAGUAAUUGACACGUAAAAUUUCUGUCAGCUGUCUCGGUAGUGUCUUGUAAAUAAGAGAAAGAGGGAACUAUCGCAGCUGUUUCAUGUGAG
Molecule: long non-coding RNA, 323 nt
Organism: Lepisosteus oculatus (spotted gar)
Lineage: Eukaryota; Metazoa; Chordata; Actinopteri; Semionotiformes; Lepisosteidae
Source: RefSeq, a predicted model, not a curated record